GUGUGUGUGUGUGUGUGUGUGUGUGUGUGUGUGUGUGUGUGUGUGUGUGUGUGUGUGCAGGCGGAUACAGAGCGCGCGGGCUCAUUCACACGCGCGCGCACACACGCCACACUCGACCGGACGAAAUGUAAAGUAAUAAUAAUACAAAAAAUAAUUUAAAAAAGGUGCGACCACGACGUAUAAUUCUCAUUCAGGUCGAAUUUGGCCGGUUUGCUAAAGGGCGCUAAUAUCGCGAGUAUAAAAACGGAUCGUACUCAACAACUGUCACAAAGUGUCACGAGCCCUCAGCUGUCCUCGCGCGCUGGGAGAUGUGAUAACUGCACACGGAAAGUCGAGCUGCGUCUCGCGCUUCAACAACAGCAUCAACAACAACAACAACAGCAACAACAACAACAGCUUGCAGCUCCUAUAGCUUAUGUAACACUAUAUUCAACUUGACUACAUGUUAUGCACGUUUAUAAGCUUUAAUAACGCAGUUCUAAAAGAGUUAGAGUUGCACAUGACAGAUUGUCACCUUUCUGUUCUGUUUCUCUUGUUAUUGUUGCAUGUGAAACUUCUUUUCACACCCGCUUUCACUUCGCACCGCAUCACCUGCUGUUCCGCGACACGACCAGAGGGCGAGCGGGGCGGAAGAUGUGCCCUGGAGAGAGAACUGGGAAGCGGAGUCAUUAAUUGAAUUUCACAGAGAGCGGCUGUGAGGCGGAAAAUCCGGAACGGAUUCAUCUGCACUGACCCGGGACCUUAACCUGCUCAAAGAGGGCGUGUCCUAAACAUCAGUGACAUAUAUACAGUAUAUGAAUAUGAGCGUGGCUUCUAAUAUGGCAGCACUCAAAGAUGUCAUUUUUCUAUAUGGGCUGAUUAUCAUUACAUACCACAUCAUUUUCAGCUAACAGCACAACUCAGAAAUAAGUUCCAUCUCUAUCACGAACUUUAGGUUAAUAUUAGGUUUAAUUAGGUUGUAAUACAUUAUUGUUUAUAUAGUAACUGCUUGUUUACAGCAAUUUGUACCACGAACGCUCCAUAUAAAGGCUAAUAACAAAACAUGUAACAAAGUAUUGUGGUUUAACGAGUAAAACAUAUAACCCUUGAUAUUGUGACGUGAUAUUGUAUAUAUUUUUAGGAGGAUUUAUUUUACAUUUUUGUUAGUUUUGUUAAAAAUAGUUGUAAUCGCUUUGUAACGGUCAGUUUCCCAGCAUGGGAAAGUUUUUAAUACAAUGGAGUUUAAAUUUUCUCUUUUGUAAAUUUUUCUAAUUUUGACACAGAGAGAGAAAGAGAGAGAGAACGACUGUCAAUUGCAUCUAUAACUUUCUGUGAGCAUCACCAGGAACUAAUUUGUCUCUCAGACAUGUCAUGAGUUUAAAUCUAACCAUUUACCAUUAAAAUGUUUGACUUGCUAUUCAUUAAUAUAUUAAACAUUCUAAUCACUGGCAAA
This is a long non-coding RNA of Tachysurus fulvidraco (yellow catfish), 1432 nucleotides long. RefSeq lists it as uncharacterized. The record is from RefSeq and is a predicted model, not a curated record. The transcript has 2 exons. Lineage: Eukaryota; Metazoa; Chordata; Actinopteri; Siluriformes; Bagridae.